CCUACGGGCGGCAGCAGUGGGGAAUAUUGGACAAUGGGCGAAAGCCUGAUCCAGCCAUGCCGCGUGUGUGAAGAAGGCCUUCGGGUUGUAAAGCACUUUCAGCGGGGAAGAAAGCCUUGGGGCUAAUACCCUCGAGGAAGGACAUCACCCACAGAAGAAGCACCGGCUAACUCCGUGCCAGCAGCCGCGGUAAUACGGAGGGUGCGAGCGUUAAUCGGAAUUACUGGGCGUAAAGCGCGCGUAGGCGGUCUGAUAAGCCGGUUGUGAAAGCCCCGGGCUCAACCUGGGAACGGCAUCCGGAACUGUCAGGCUAGAGUGCAGGAGAGGAAGGUAGAAUUCCCGGUGUAGCGGUGAAAUGCGUAGAGAUCGGGAGGAAUACCAGUGGCGAAGGCGGCCUUCUGGACUGACACUGACGCUGAGGUGCGAAAGCGUGGGUAGCAAACAGGAUUAAUACCCCGGUAGUC
RNAcentral lists this ribosomal RNA (464 nucleotides) under Vreelandella stevensii. Its description in RNAcentral is "partial 16S ribosomal RNA". It matches the Rfam family "Bacterial small subunit ribosomal RNA", at positions 338 to 795 of the family's 1533-position model. The record is from RNAcentral. Lineage: Bacteria; Pseudomonadati; Pseudomonadota; Gammaproteobacteria; Oceanospirillales; Halomonadaceae.